GGGGCUGACUUGGAUUUCGACAGAUUUCUUGUCGCACAGAUAGCAUGCCAAGUGCUGCUUGUAAAACAGCAACAAAAAUAACUGUAAACAACGCAGAUUACGCUCCAGCUUACGCUAAAGCUGCGUGAGUUAAUCUCCUUUUGGAGCUGGACUGAUUAGAAUUUCUAGCGUUUUAAUCACUCCAUAACCUUAAGCUAGACGCUUUUAAAAGGUGGUUCGCCUUUUAAACUAAGAAACAAGAACUCUUGAAACUACCUCAAGGUUUUAGAAAGUUGGACCAGAGCUAGUUUUAAGGCUAAAAAACUAACCAAUUUUCUAAGCAUUGUAGAAGUUUGUGUUUAGGGCAAGAUUUUUGGACUGGGGUUCGAUUCCCCACAGCUCCACCA
RNAcentral lists this transfer-messenger RNA (386 nucleotides) under Helicobacter pylori. RNAcentral describes it as "Standard tmRNA". It matches the Rfam family "transfer-messenger RNA". Rfam says of the family: Bacterial tmRNA, also known as 10Sa RNA or SsrA, is named for its dual tRNA and mRNA-like properties. Its role is to liberate the mRNA from a stalled ribosome. To accomplish this part of the tmRNA is used as a reading frame that ends in a translation stop signal. The record is from RNAcentral. Lineage: Bacteria; Pseudomonadati; Campylobacterota; Epsilonproteobacteria; Campylobacterales; Helicobacteraceae.